This 1184-nucleotide long non-coding RNA is filed under the name Mus pahari (shrew mouse). Its description in RNAcentral is "lncRNA (MGP_PahariEiJ_G0002299.1)". Lineage: Eukaryota; Metazoa; Chordata; Mammalia; Rodentia; Muridae. The record is from RNAcentral.
ACGCAGCGAGCCUGGGCGCCGCCCGCGCUCACCUAUCACCGCGCCCACCACGUCGUUCUUCACCCCGAAGCAGAGCGGCGGUUCGUGGCGGCCGGCGGCCGUAGCCUCGGCGGCACCGGCGGGCUCCCUCCAGCCGCCGCCCGCACCCCUGCUACGGACCCGGCCUCUCCGGUUCGUCUCCUCCGUCGCCUUCCGGUCGGCGCCCCGGGACCCGGUCGAGCUUCGCCGGGGAGCAACGCCCGAGGAGGAAGCGUUGGCUGCGGGUUCCCGCCUAGACAUGGCUCUGAGGAGAGCCGCGCGUCGUACGUCGUUCCAGGCUCAGCUGCACAGGCCGCGGCGUCGCAAGAACUCCGCUGCCGCCCGCGAGCUCGCCCGCCAGUCCUCUGCGCGCUCAUUGGCCGCCGCGCCUCGAGGGCGGGGCCUGGCUGGCCUGACCAAUCGGCGCUUGCAGCCGCGCGGCCCCCUGGACCCCCUACUUGCUCCGCGGGUGUCCGGCUGUGAACAUCAGCUUGAGGACCUUGCGUCUCGGUGCCACAGAAACCAACCAUGCCUCGAAAUUCAGGUUCAUGACGGGCUAAUGGUGCAGGCUUGAGAUCUGGGGCAGGAGGGUCUGCGUGACAAUGUUAGGCUCUAUCUUAAAAUAACUCGAUGAAAGCGCUUGCCUAGCAUAGCUCAGGAAACCCUGUCUACACUCCCCAAUACCUAAAAUUUAAAAAAAAAAAAAAAAUUAGCACUGCCCGAAGUACACCCAGCUUUGCAAGGAUUCUGGAGCUGGACACGGUCCUCCAGGGCUGGCCGAAGCUACUGCAUCCCUUGAUGUGAUUGAGAUCCUGGAAUUGUCUGAAUAGAUCGCAGGUCAACCAUCCAUCUUAGCAUUUUAUUUGUUGUAGGAGACACUGAGGAAAAACUGUAGGGUUGGGUCCAUCCUGGGUUAAAUAAAUUUCAUCAAAUUAUAUUAUAUAAUACUAGGUAUACUAAUAUCCUUGAAGAUAGCCUUAAUUCUCCUGGCUGGGAGAGAGCGCUCAAGUGCUGGGCUUACAGAUGAAUUUCAUGACACACCGAUGUAGCAACAGUAUCUCUUGACACAAUAAUCUCUAGGAGAGAAUGUGAAUAAAACACCAAACUACCAAAGCAUCUUGGAUUUAUACAGAAACAUCGAACAAAAAAAAAAAAAAAAAAAAAAA